AGCUUGGGAUAGGUGGGAACUUUCUUCCAUAGUGACGUGAAUGGAUCGUCCUCUGGGGAGCUCCUCGAGAUGGGAUGCUCGGAUUGGGGAGGGAGGUAGUAGGGGAGGCGUGGAAAAAGCAAAGGCUGGAACCAGGUGCCCCCUCCCCAUCCUUCCCAAGGCAGCUGUGUGUGGUGCUGCAGUAACCCUGCUACUCACAUCCGCCUCGUUCCAGAGCCCCGGGAUGCAGAAGGAUUCCAGCAGGUCACUGCCACACAGCAGCAAGAUCCGCAGCUCUGAGGAGGGGGAGCAAAGAUUGCACAGGGGGCCACCGCCCUCAGCAAACAGCUUGAGAAGCAAGGCUGAGCCCACCCGCCUCCUUCCCAGGCGGGCUUCCUGCUUGUCACUUAUUUUCCUUCCCUCCCGAAGCCUGCCCUGAAUUAUCCCAGCAUGGCCCAUCACGACAGGCAGCAAACUCACUGACUUAUUAAAACUGAGCAGUGGGGAGAAAAGGAUCCCAGGAUUCUCAGAACCACGUGGGGGAAGACCUCUGCCUGGGUGUGACUCAGUGUGCAGCGUGUGGUUCCCAGGCACCCUGGGCCCUCUGGCAAGAGGCCGUGGCUGUGGGCAUCUUGUCUGAAAGUGUGAGACAGCCCUGCUCGGAGCCUUCCAGAAACCACUGCCACCCUGCACCGACGCAGAGACAUGGCUGUUAGGCCUGCCUGCCUGAGACCACACAGCUCCUCGGGGACCUCACAAGGACUUUCAGACAGUGACCUGGUCCCUGCUGCGGGAGUCUCCAGAUGGCACAGAGAAGGAAGGCUGCUGGGCUGACGACAGUGCCAACAUCUUGUUGUCCCACCCAGGGCAGCCCUUCCCCAUGGGGCUCCUCCUCAUGGAGCCAUGGGGUCUUAGCUCCAAAAUAUUCCUGUAGCCUCCCCUCCCCUUUACAUCAUCCCGUAGCCCAAUCUGCUUAUGUACGGGGACCUUAAUUUAUCUUUAUAUCCCCAGGCCUGGCAGAGUGACCCGCACACGGUAGGUGCUUGGGACGUACUGAAUAAGUGAACAGCAGACAAGUGACCACAGAAGUCAUGGAAGCAAGCUGUCCAGGAGCCUCCUGGGUGGACCUCAUGGCCUUUGUUUUUGGAGUGGGGAAGGGGGGGCACAGGCAAGAGGUGUCUCCCUCCUUCCAUGCUAUGCCAUAGGCCUUCUGGCCCAACUCCCCAUCUGUGGAGAUGAACCAGCCUUCAUAUGGCUGAGAGGAGCCAGACUGGGUUCAUUCCUGGGAUCCUACUGUUCCCAUCCCCUGCUUGGAACCACCCAGAGCUCUGGAGCUCUUUUUCUGUAGAAAGAGAAAGAAGCCGAGGCUCUGGA
Canis lupus familiaris (dog) is the source of this 1353-nucleotide long non-coding RNA. RefSeq lists it as uncharacterized. The transcript is spliced from 2 exons. NCBI's taxonomy places the organism in Eukaryota, Metazoa, Chordata, Mammalia, Carnivora, Canidae. The record is from RefSeq and is a predicted model, not a curated record.